This 1179-nucleotide long non-coding RNA is filed under the name Papio anubis (olive baboon). RNAcentral describes it as "lncRNA (ENSPANG00000044767.1)". The record is from RNAcentral. Lineage: Eukaryota; Metazoa; Chordata; Mammalia; Primates; Cercopithecidae.
CCGAUGUUGAAAAUGGCACAGAUGUGGUCUAAGCUUUAAGUAAUUAAGAAGCCAAAAGCAUACAUUGUUUUGUUCACACUCAUUAAUUGUAUAUUCAGAAAGAAAUUGUAGUACAAGAUAAUGUAAAAAAAAAAAAAAAUCCAUGUUCACACUCAUUAAUUGUAUAUUCAGAAAGAAAUUGUAGUACAAGAUAAUGUAAAAAAAAAAAAAAAUCCAUUGCCUUAUCAGGAAUGUACUAGGAAUUUUGCAUUUUUUUUCUAGCUGAAGACAAACUACAUAAUAUGUAAGAGAUUUGAGUACUGCUUUAUCAAAUACCUAUGCAAGAUAUUCAAAUGUGGUAAAAUUGCAAUUACAGGUCAAAAAGACAAAGACUUGCUGAAAUAAAUAUUUAAUAAUUUAUUUACAGGCAAGCCAUAACCAACGAGUAUGACCUAUUUCAUCAAUAGUUUCUUACAGAAAAUGAAGUGAGUGUGAUGGGCACUGCUGAAGAAGUAAUCAAACAGAAGAUUUUCAAAACUUUUAUCUGCCGUAAACAUCCUUCUAUCAUUCCACUCAGGUUCAGUGGUACAUGUGAAGUUUAGCCGGGCGCGGUGGCUCAAGCCUGUAAUCUCAGCACUUUGGGAGGCCGAGACGGGCAGAUCACAAGGUCAGGAGAUGGAGCCCAUCCUGGCUCACAAGGUGAAACCCCGUUUCUACUAAAAAAAUACAAAAAACUAGCUGGGCGAGGUGGCGUGCGCCUGUAGUCCCAGCUACUUGGGAGGCUGAGGCAGGAGAAUGGUGUGAACCCGGGAGACAGAGCUUGCACUGAGCUGAGAUCCCACCACAGCACUCCAGCCUGGGUGACAGAGCAAGACUCGUCUCAAAAAAAAAAACAAAAAAAAAAACAAAAAAGAAGUUUUCUUAUAUAGGUAAGUUCCUGGCCUAAGGGUUUGUUGUACAGAUUAUUUCAUCAACCAGGUGUUAAGCCUAGUACUCAACAGUUAUUUUGUUUAUUUAUUUAUUUUUGCUCCUCUCUUUCCUCCCCACCUCCACCUUCAGGAAAAACUGAAAAAGAAUUCAAAAUGGUAUUUUUAUAUUUGACUAUAUAAAAAUUUAAAAUAGCUGUAUGAUAAAAUCAUUAAGAAACUUUAAAGGCAAAUUUUAAAACUUGAAAAAUAAAUGCUUCUCAUUAUACCUCAC